This 253-nucleotide ribosomal RNA is filed under the name uncultured bacterium. RNAcentral describes it as "partial 16S ribosomal RNA". It matches the Rfam family "Bacterial small subunit ribosomal RNA", at positions 524 to 776 of the family's 1533-position model. The record is from RNAcentral.
UACGUAGGGUGCAAGCGUUGUCCGGAAUUAUUGGGCGUAAAGAGCUCGUAGGCGGUCUGUCGCGUCUGCUGUGAAAACUCGGGGCUUAACCCCGGGCCUGCAGUGGGUACGGGCAGACUAGAGUGCGGUAGGGGAGACUGGAAUUCCUGGUGUAGCGGUGAAAUGCGCAGAUAUCAGGAGGAACACCGGUGGCGAAGGCGGGUCUCUGGGCCGUAACUGACGCCGAGGAGCGAAAGCAUGGGGAGCGAACAGG